RNAcentral lists this ribosomal RNA (425 nucleotides) under uncultured bacterium. RNAcentral's name for it is "partial 16S ribosomal RNA". It matches the Rfam family "Bacterial small subunit ribosomal RNA", at positions 354 to 796 of the family's 1533-position model. The record is from RNAcentral.
GUGGGGAAUAUUGGACAAUGGGCGAAAGCCUGAUCCAGCAAUGCCGCGUGAGUGAAGAAGGCCUUCGGGUUGUAAAGCUCUUUUACCCGGGAAGAUAAUGACUGUACCGGGAGAAUAAGCCCCGGCUAACUCCGUGCCAGCAGCCGCGGUAAUACGGAGGGGGCUAGCGUUGUUCGGAAUUACUGGGCGUAAAGCGCACGUAGGCGGUCUUUUAAGUCAGAGGUGAAAGCCCGGGGCUCAACUCCGGAAUUGCCUUUGAAACUGGAGGACUUUAACACGGGAGAGGUGAGUGGAAUUCCGAGUGUAGAGGUGAAAUUCGUAGAUAUUCGGAGGAAUACCAGUGGCGAAGGCGGCUCACUGGACCGUUGUUGACGCUGAGGUGCGAAAGCGUGGGGAGCAAACAGGAUUAGAAACCCGUGUAGUCC